UUAAAUUGUCAAGAUGGUGUCUUGUUGGUGAAGCUUCUGCACUGGAACUAUUUCUAAGGCUAGGUCUGUGAGCUGGAGACUGACAGAUGCUUGGAGGGGAAAGCAGAGAAGACAUUUCAUCUCCAACUCUGUGUACCAUCCUAUUCAGCUGUUCCAGCUCCUGUUCAUCAUACUGCAUCGAACAAGCCAGCUCAGCCUCUGUGUUCUCAGCCUUUGCUGAGAGCUCCUUCGCUGGCAAAGUUGCAGUUAUGCCCGGUGUGAUGACAGAGGGUACUUCAGGAUCUGUUCUGACAGGAAAAUCCACAUCUUGAGAGAUGCACAGGUUACGCUCCAGUGUGUGCAGUUCAUCCUCGGUUAAUGUCUG
This 364-nucleotide long non-coding RNA is filed under the name Gallus gallus (chicken). RNAcentral's name for it is "long non-coding RNA NONGGAT007259". Lineage: Eukaryota; Metazoa; Chordata; Aves; Galliformes; Phasianidae. The record is from RNAcentral.